Pan troglodytes (chimpanzee) is the source of this 2515-nucleotide long non-coding RNA. RefSeq lists it as uncharacterized. The transcript has 4 exons. Lineage: Eukaryota; Metazoa; Chordata; Mammalia; Primates; Hominidae. The record is from RefSeq and is a predicted model, not a curated record.
AAAAAUUAAAAUUUCUUAUUCCCUUUCAGAGCUACUAUGUUAUGAUAUCUCAAACUAAUAUUUGAGACUCCCUGGCUUGAUAACUAUGAUUCCAUUGAAGAUGACUAUUGAGUUGAAUGGCUCUGUUUUCCAUCAACGGUGACAGCUUUUAAUCACAGAUCUCAAGCCCAUUAUGAACAUUAAUUAAUGUCUGACAUCGCUUAAUGAGAUGGAGUCUUGCCCUGUUGCCCAGGCUGGAGUGCCGUGGCUUGAUAUUGGCUGUCUGCAACCUCCGCCUCCCGGGUUCAAGUGAUUCUCCUGCCUCAGCCUCCCAAGUAGCUGGGAUUACAGGUGGUUUAAUCUGAACCAAGAUCCAGUCUGAGUACAUUUUGUUAAAUCCCGUGAGUCUCUUCUAUUCUUUGAAAGUACCUUUUAUCAUGACACCCUGACUUGCUGAAGUCCUCCCAGUUGUCCUUUAGAAGAUCUUAUGCUGUUUGAUCCCUUUCUUGUGGUGAUGUUUUAUUUGUUUCUUCAUCUCCAGUAAUCUCUGUAAUCUGGCAGUCAAAUCUGAAGGUUAUAUUAAAUUCAAGUUAAACAUUUUUGUCAAAGUUAAAAUCAUAGGUGAUGUCGUACACUUAACAUUGCAUCACAUUGAUGGUCAUAAAUGUCUGAUUGUCCCACCAGUGGUGAUAUUAAAUUUGGCCACAGGAUCAAGGGAAUAAAAGUCUGAUUCUUCUAUUGCAAAAUUAUGUUUCUCAGUUUGUGAUCAAAUUUUUUUGGCUAGAACUGUGAAUUUUCAGGUCACCAACAGCCAUUUAUGUUAUUUUAUUUUAACACCAAUUGAUAAGAGUUGGCUGCAUCGAUAAUCUAAUCAGGGCAAAUAGUUAUAUCUAUGAUUCUUAUCAUUUAUUUCACACUUAUUAGUUAGCUUUCUUCAUCAUGUAGACUGCUUUUUCCUUCAACUGGGUCUAUUUAAUUUUCUAAAUCACAAUUCCUUCUAAAAAGGUGGAAUACAUGUUAAUUCUUUCUUUUGUUUCUAUAAUUUGGAGGCAAUUCACUGAGCAGAUAUCUGUCUUCAGAACUCGAAUUGACCCUGUCCAAUGUGGCUGCUUUAUAAUACAUAUUCUAUUAAUUUUAAAAAAUAAUUCCCAUUGUUCUUGUGCCAAAAUGGCUAUCCAGGAACAAUUGUUAUAGUGUAUUUCAUUUCUUAUUUGUUUCUUGUUGUUAUGUAAAAUAUCCUAAGCAUUUGUAAAUAUACUAAUCAUUGUUCUUUUUUUAUUCAUUAUAUUUCCGUGUAAGGGUGUAUUUGAUUCACUCACUGUAAUCUUUUCCUUCCAGGGUUUUCCCAUGAUAUUCCAUAAUUUCCAUUUCAUCUUGAUGAUUUCAUCUAUAAUAUUUAUUUGGUGCUGAGAAGGUUCCCACAAAUUAGUCAGAUUCCAAUGCUGAUAUCCUGUUACUUUCCACCUGCUACCAUAACCCUCUCCUUGGGUAUCCAGACAGAUUAUGGCACUGUCUUGUAGCUGGUCCCAGAAACAAUUUAUAUGGCCAAUAUUUGUUACAGGGUAAAUACCAAGGAUCCAGGACAUCUGGCAUGACAUAAUCUUUAGAAAAUUUUGAUUAGUUGUAAGACUGUCUUAGAUUUGACAAUACCCGGAUUUGUCAUUAUGGGGUCCCCCUAGUUUGUCUUCUGGUGGUGUGCUGGAAGCUGAAAUAACCUGAUGCAUUAAUUAGGCCAGUAUAACACAUGAAAUAGAGUGUGGUUUGGCAGACUAGGGCCUCUGUGAAAGAAAAUUACCUUGCCAUCCAUGUUGAAGAAUUUUAUAAUAAAUUACAGACAAUAUAUAACAAAACAUUUAUGAAAGUAGGGACCAGUGCUGAAUCUCCAGAGUGAAGCCUCACAUGUAACAGACUCAGAACAAAUGCUGGUUGAAUGAAUUAAUUUCAACUCACUCAUCUGUGGGAAUUAGAGAUCCUUCAAAGAAAUACACAGAUGAGAGUUGAAAAAAUUGUCUUGUUGAAGCCUCCUCCUUUUUUUUUUUUUUUUUUUUUUUGAGACAGAGUCUCACUCUGUCACUCAGGCUGGAGUGCAGUGGUGUGAUCUCUGCUCACUGCAACCUCCACCUCCUUGGUUCAAGCGAUUCUCCUGCCUCAGCCUCCCGAGUAGCUGGGAUUACAGGCGCCUGCCACCACACUCGGCUAAUUUUUGUUUUUAGUAGAGACAGGAUUUCAUCAUGUUGGCCAAGCUGGUCUCCAACUCCUGACCUCAAGUGAUCCUCCCACCUUGGCCUCCCAAAGCGCUGGGAUUGCAGGCAUGAGCCACGUGCCUGGCUGAAACCUCUCUUAACUAAGAGUCUAUAUUGUCUUUUAUUGGAAAGUGUGUCAAAGUUCUUUUGCCUUUCCUGAAGAUGUUUAUACCAUAAAAUUCUAUCUGUUUCUUAUCCUCUGACAUUAGUUUGUUGCUGAUAUUAUUACUAGAUUUCAAGGUCACUUCAGAAAUAUUUGGUAGUAAAAUAAAGGCUCUAAUUAAAAAAAACUA